UUAUGGCUCAGGAUGAACGCUAGCUACAGGCUUAACACAUGCAAGUCGAGGGGCAGCAUUGGGAUAGCUUGCUAUUCCAGAUGGCGACCGGCGCACGGGUGAGUAACGCGUAUCCAACCUUCCCCAUAGUAGGGCACAGCCCGGCGAAAGUCGGAUUAAUUCCCUAUGCAGUCCAGAGAGGACAUCUGACCUGGACGAAAGAUUCAUCGCUAUGGGAUGGGGAUGCGUCUGAUUAGGUUGCAGGCGGGGUAACGGCCCACCUGGCCGACGAUCAGUAGGGGUUCUGAGAGGAAGGUCCCCCACAUUGGAACUGAGACACGGUCCAAACUCCUACGGGAGGCAGCAGUGAGGAAUAUUGGUCAAUGGACGGAAGUCUGAACCAGCCAAGUAGCGUGCAAGGAAGACGGCCCUAUGGGUUGUAAACUGCUUUUAUCAGGGGAUAAAGUGAGGUAUGUAUACCUUUUUGCAUGUACCUGAUGAAUAAGGACCGGCUAAUUCCGUGCCAGCAGCAGC
RNAcentral lists this ribosomal RNA (513 nucleotides) under uncultured bacterium. Its description in RNAcentral is "bacterial SSU rRNA". It matches the Rfam family "Bacterial small subunit ribosomal RNA", at positions 17 to 518 of the family's 1533-position model. The record is from RNAcentral.